GAUGAACGCUAGCUACAGGCUUAACACAUGCAAGUCGAGGGACCGGCGCACGGGUGAGUAACACGUAUCCAACCUGCCCUUUACUCGGGGAUAGCCUUUCGAAAGAAAGAUUAAUACCCGAUAUAAAGGAUGGGGAUGCGUUCCAUUAGGUUGUUGGUGAGGUAACGGCCCACCAAGCCUUCGAUGGAUAGGGGUUCUGAGGGGAAGGUCCCCCACAAUGGAACGGCGACACGGUCCAAAAUCCUACGGGAGGCAGCAGUUAGGAAUAUUGGUGAAUGGGCGCUAGCCGGAACCAGCCAAGUAGCGGGAAGAAUGAAGGCUUAUGGGUCGUAAACGUCUAUUAUAUAAGAAUAUGUAUUAUAUGAAUAAGGAUCGGCUAACUCCGUGCCAGCAGCCGCGGUAAUAC
Molecule: ribosomal RNA, 406 nt
Filed under: uncultured bacterium
Lineage: Bacteria
Description: partial 16S ribosomal RNA
Rfam family: Bacterial small subunit ribosomal RNA
Source: RNAcentral